RNAcentral lists this ribosomal RNA (377 nucleotides) under uncultured bacterium. Its description in RNAcentral is "bacterial SSU rRNA". It matches the Rfam family "Bacterial small subunit ribosomal RNA", at positions 521 to 896 of the family's 1533-position model. The record is from RNAcentral.
UAAUACAGAGGGUGCAAGCGUUAAUCGGAAUUACUGGGCGUAAAGGGCAUGUAGGUGGGUAUUUAAGUCGAUUGUGAAAGCCCCGAGCUUAACUUGGGAACUGCAGUCGAUACUGAAUAUCUAGAGUAUGGUAGAGGGAAGUGGAAUUUCCGGUGUAGCGGUGAAAUGCGUAGAUAUCGGAAGGAACACCAGUGGCGAAGGCGUCUUCCUGGACCAAUACUGACACUAAAGUGCGAAAGCGUGGGGAGCAAACAGGAUUAGAUACCCUGGUAGUCCACGCCGUAAACGAUGAGAACUGGGCGUCGGGAGGCUAUGUCCUCUUGGUGCCGAAGCUAACGCGUUAAGUUCUCCGCCUGGGGAGUACGGCCGCAAGGCUA